Molecule: ribosomal RNA, 207 nt
Filed under: uncultured bacterium
Lineage: Bacteria
Description: partial 16S ribosomal RNA
Rfam family: Bacterial small subunit ribosomal RNA
Source: RNAcentral
UACAGAGGAUGCAAGCGUUAUCCGGAAUGAUUGGGCGUAAAGCGUCUGUAGGUGGCUUUUUAAGUCCGCCGUCAAAUCCCAGGGCUCAACUCUGGACAGGCGGUGGAAACUACCAAGCUGGAGUACGGUAGGGGCAGAGGGAAUUUCCGGUGGAGCGGUGAAAUGCGUAGAGUAUCGCUUGGAACGCCAAAGGUGAAAACAGGUUGC